GCGCUGGAAAAGAACCCAACAGGGAUCGCCCCAGUAACGGCGAGUGAAGCGGCAACAGCUCAAAUUUGAAAUCUGGCUUCGGCCCGAGUUGUAAUUUGCAGAGGAAGCUUUAGGCGCGGCACCAUCUGAGUCCCCUGGAACGGGGCGCCAAAGAGGGUGAGAGCCCCGUAUAGAUGGACGCCUAGCCUGUGUAAAGCUCCUUCGACGAGUCGAGUAGUUUGGGAAUGCUGCUCAAAAUGGGAGGUAAAUUUCUUCUAAAGCUAAAUAUUGGCCAGAGACCGAUAGCGCACAAGUAGAGUGAUCGAAAGAUGAAAAGCACUUUGAAAAGAGGGUUAAAUAGCACGUGAAAUUGUUGAAAGGGAAGCGCUUGUGACCAGACUUGCGCCGGGCGGAUCAUCCGGUGUUCUCACCGGUGCACUCCGCCCGGCUCAGGCCAGCAUCGGUUCUCGUGGGGGGAUAAAGGCACCGGGAACGUAGCUCCUCCGGGAGUGUUAUAGCCCGGGGCGUAAUGCCCUCGCGGGGACCGAGGACCGCGCUUCUGCAAGGAUGCUGGCGUAAUGGUCAUCAGCGACCCGCCUUGAAACACGGACCAAGGAGUCAAGGUUUUGCGCGAGUGUUUGGGUGUAAAACCCGCACGCGUAAUGAAAGUGAACGUAGGUGAGAGCUUCGGCGCAUCAUCGACCGAUCCUGAUGUUCUCGGAUGGAUUUGA
RNAcentral lists this ribosomal RNA (710 nucleotides) under uncultured Zopfiella. Its description in RNAcentral is "eukaryotic LSU rRNA". It matches the Rfam family "Eukaryotic large subunit ribosomal RNA", at positions 50 to 793 of the family's 3401-position model. The record is from RNAcentral. Lineage: Eukaryota; Fungi; Ascomycota; Sordariomycetes; Sordariales; Chaetomiaceae.